This 88-nucleotide ribosomal RNA is filed under the name Gardnerella vaginalis. Lineage: Bacteria; Bacillati; Actinomycetota; Actinomycetes; Bifidobacteriales; Bifidobacteriaceae. The record is from RNAcentral.
UGCGGUGGUCAUGGCUCAGGUGAGACGCCCGGUCCCAUUCCGAACCCGGAAGCUAAGGCCUGACACGGUGAGGGUACUGCACUCGAUA